This 1408-nucleotide ribosomal RNA is filed under the name uncultured bacterium. RNAcentral describes it as "bacterial SSU rRNA". It matches the Rfam family "Bacterial small subunit ribosomal RNA". The record is from RNAcentral.
AUUGAACGCUGGCGGCAUGCUUUACACAUGCAAGUCGAACGGCAGCACGGGGGCAACCUGUGGCGAGUGGCGAACGGGUGAGGAAUACAUCGGAACGUGUCUUUAAGUGGGGGAUAACAUCGAAAGGUGUGCUAAUACCGCAUAAUCUCUGAGGAGAAAAGCAGGGGAUCGCAAGCUUGCGCUUUAGGAGCGGCCGAUGCCUGAUUAGCUUGUUGGUAAGGUAAAAGCUUACCGGCUUCGAUCAGUAGCUGGUCUGAGAGGACGGCCAGCCACACUGGGACUGAGACACGGCAGACUCCUACGGGAGGCAGCAGUGGGGAAUUUUGGACAAUGGGGGCAACCCUGAUCCCCAUGCCGCGUGAGUGAAGAAGGCCUUCGGGUUGUAAAGCUCUUUCAGCCGGAACGAAGGUUACGGUUAAUACCCGUGACUACUGACGGUACCGGAAGAAGAAGCACCGGCUAACUGUGCCAGCAGCCGCGGUAAUACGUAGGGUGCGAGCGUUAAUCGGAAUUACUGGGCGUAGCGUGCGCAGGUGGUUUUGUAGGUCAGAUGUGAAAUCCCCGGGCUCAACCUGGGAACUGUUUGAAACUACAAGACUAGAGUGUGGCAGAGGGGGGUGGAAUUCCGCGUGUAGCAGUAAUGCGUAGAGAUGUGGAGGAACACCGAUGGCGAAGGCAGCCCCCUGGGUCAACACUGGCUCAGGCACGAAAGCAUGGGGAGCAAACAGGAUUAGAUACCCUGGUAGUCCAUGCCCAACGAUGUCAACUAGUUGUCGGGCCUUUACGGGCUUGGUAACGUAGCUAACGCGUGAAUGACCGCCUGGGGAGUACGAUCGCAAGAUUAAAACUCAAAUGAAUUGACGGGGACCCGCAAGCGGUGGAUUAUGUGGAUUAAUUCGAUGCAACGCGAAAAACCUUACCUACCCUUGAUGUAUCGAAGCCCGCAGAAAAGCGGGUGUGCCCGAAAGGGAACGAUAACACAGGUGCCAUGGCUGUCGUCAGCUCGUGUCGUGAGAUGUUGGGUUAAGUCCCGCAACGAGCGCAACUUGUCAUUAAUUGCCAUCAUUUAGUUGGGCACUUUAAUGAGACUGCCGGUGACAAACGAGGAAGGUGGGGAUGACGUCAAGUCCUCAUGGCCCUUAUGGGUAGGGCUUCACACGUUACAAUGGCGCGUACAGAGGGUUGCCAACCCGCGAGGGGGAGCUAAUCUCAGAAAGCGUCGUAGUCCGGAUCGGAGUCUGCAACUCGACUCCGUGAAGUCGGAAUCGCUAGUAAUCGGAUCAGCAUGUCGCGGUGAAUACGUUCCCGGGUCUUGUACACACCGCCCGUCACACCGGGAGUGGGUUCCACCAGAAGCAGGUAGUCUAACCGCAAGGAGGGCGCUUGCCACGGUGAUUCAUGACUGGGG